UUUGUGUUUGAUGGUGUUUAUUCCAUCUUUGAUUGGAAACAUUAAAUAGAACUUUCUUUUCAGGAUGACGAAACAGGUACAUUUGCAUUUUGACAUGUUUUACAAACCAAGUGCUCCUAACCACAGGACCCCUCUCCUUUUGUUUUUCUCCUCUCCUCAGACA
This is a long non-coding RNA of Stegastes partitus (bicolor damselfish), 163 nucleotides long. RefSeq lists it as uncharacterized. The transcript has 3 exons. NCBI's taxonomy places the organism in Eukaryota, Metazoa, Chordata, Actinopteri, Pomacentridae. The record is from RefSeq and is a predicted model, not a curated record.